GAUAACAAAGCAAAGAGUAACAAAUGUUACGAGAUGUAAAUUUUGACUUAAUAAAUCAACAAAGGUAAAAACAAAACUCUAGAAAAAAAAUUUCAAAAAAUUUAAAAAAAACACAAAAUAAUAAAAUUAGAAAAUAAUAAAACUAUAAAAAGAGUUAAAUAAAAUAAUGUAAAAACUGUAAGAAAAAAACUGAUUGUAAUUCAAUGCGG
Molecule: long non-coding RNA, 209 nt
Filed under: Vigna radiata
Lineage: Eukaryota; Viridiplantae; Streptophyta; Magnoliopsida; Fabales; Fabaceae
Description: long non-coding RNA (VRAD_LNC000323)
Source: RNAcentral